This 100-nucleotide signal recognition particle RNA is filed under the name Odoribacter sp. Its description in RNAcentral is "signal recognition particle sRNA small type". The stretch from base 6 to 92 matches the Rfam family "Bacteroidales small SRP", at positions 13 to 98 of the family's 107-position model. Rfam says of the family: The non-coding component of the signal recognition particle in Bacteroides Lineage: Bacteria; Pseudomonadati; Bacteroidota; Bacteroidia; Bacteroidales; Odoribacteraceae. The record is from RNAcentral.
UGUUCAGUCCUAUGCGACCAGCUCCUGCAGAAUUCCCCCAGGGUCGGAAGGCAGCAAGGGUAUGUGGUUGUAGCGGUGCGACGUAGUCAGCUUACCCUCU